UCAUCUAAAACAACCAAAAUUCUUACAUGCAAAUGCCAUCAAAAGGACUUUUCCAAGGCUUGUAAUGAGGCUGGGCUAACAAGAAAAUUGGUUUUUCUGGAAUGCAAAGUCCUUGAGUUAAGAGAGCUACCAUAAUAUUCAACAUUUAAGAACAACUCUCUUCCUCACCAAUCUCACUUAUUCCCAACUUUUUCCUUUUUCUUUUGCAUUGAGCCCAUCUUCAUGCUUUUCUUCUUUUCUUUUCUUUUUCUCAUGUAUUUUUCUUUCACACAUUUG
Molecule: long non-coding RNA, 276 nt
Filed under: Vigna radiata
Lineage: Eukaryota; Viridiplantae; Streptophyta; Magnoliopsida; Fabales; Fabaceae
Description: long non-coding RNA (VRAD_LNC016008)
Source: RNAcentral